Molecule: transfer RNA, 111 nt
Filed under: Tolypocladium ophioglossoides CBS 100239
Lineage: Eukaryota; Fungi; Ascomycota; Sordariomycetes; Hypocreales; Ophiocordycipitaceae
Rfam family: tRNA
About the family: Transfer RNA (tRNA) molecules are approximately 80 nucleotides in length. Their secondary structure includes four short double-helical elements and three loops (D, anti-codon, and T loops).
Source: Rfam by way of RNAcentral
GGCACUUUGGCCGAGUGGUCUAAGGCGCCGUGUUCAGGCUACUGGCUCUUCGGAGCAGGUUCUCUAUUCGCGGUCUAGUAAUAGGCGAGGGUUCGAAUCCCUCAGGUGUCA